CGUUGGCCUUGGUAUUCAUCACUCUGUACCCUGCCUGGCCUUGCUGUGAGGAGAAGGCAGAGGACAUAGAGAUCAGUAACUGAUAUUCUUGAUCACCACCAAUGAAGCAUUGAAUCCACCCAUUAGCAAUGAAGUUCUGCUUAUCUGUGCACCUAAGAAGAAUAUGGCCCUUUUUGGAAAGCUGAAUUGAAGCAACUGGUAGGCGGAAGAAAUUCCAUGGUGCAGGAUUCACAGGCUUGCAGGCUGAUGGAACCUCUACUAUCCAGAACAUCACUGAUCUAUACAGAGGAGCAAGAGUGAAGCACAUGAGUUCUUAAUGGCUUCUACCAGGAAAUGGCACACCUCACUUCAGCUUAUGUUUUAUUGUUCAAAGCAAUUCACAUAGUUAGCUACACUCCAAAAGGUAAAGCAUCACGAUUCUUCCAUGUGCCUAGAGAGAAGAGAAACAUGUAGUAUACAGAGGUAAUGAAGACCUCCAUCUACAUUCUGUGAUCAAAUAUGGAGUUCACUCCUUUUCCCUCUGCUAAGUGACAUAAUUAUACUGAUUUCAGGACAAAGAAGAUCAACCAUGGAAGAACCCAUGACUUUAUAAAAGGGUGUGGGUGAACCAAGUGCAGAAAUGGCUAAGAGAUGCUGGGAAUCUAAUUUAGGAGUAUUGUUGGUCCAGCAGACAAGAGACUGAAUUCAAAAGAGCCGGUUUGGGUUUAAAUCAUUGGAAUGAUUCCUUGAGUUCAGAUAGACAAGAGGUUUAACACAGGAAUUCAGACAAGUCAACCAAGCUUUAUUCCCUGAGAAACAUAAUUACUACUCAGAGCA
Long non-coding RNA from Cercocebus atys (sooty mangabey), 816 nucleotides. RefSeq lists it as uncharacterized. The transcript has 3 exons. Lineage: Eukaryota; Metazoa; Chordata; Mammalia; Primates; Cercopithecidae. The record is from RefSeq and is a predicted model, not a curated record.